Molecule: ribosomal RNA, 416 nt
Filed under: uncultured bacterium
Lineage: Bacteria
Description: bacterial SSU rRNA
Rfam family: Bacterial small subunit ribosomal RNA
Source: RNAcentral
UGGGGAAUAUUGCGCAAUGGAGGAAACUCUGACGCAGUGACGCCGCGUAUAGGAAGAAGUUUUUCGGAAUGUAAACUAUUGUCGUUAGGGAAGAGAAAGGACAGUACCUAAGGAGGAAGCUCCGGCUAACUACGUGCCAGCAGCCGCGGUAAUACGUAGGGAGCGAGCGUUAUCCGGAAUUAUUGGGUGUAAAGGGUGCGUAGACGGGAGAACAAGUUAGUUGUGAAAUCCCUCGGCUUAACUGAGGAACUGCAACUAAAACUAUUUUUCUUGAGUGCAGGAGAGGUAAGUGGAAUUCCUAGUGUAGCGGUGAAAUGCGUAGAUAUUAGGAGGAACACCAGUGGCGAAGGCGACUUACUGGACUGUAACUGACGUUGAGGCACGAAAGUGUGGGGAGCAAACAGGAUUAGAUACCC